This 64-nucleotide transfer RNA is filed under the name Cycetogamasus diviortus. RNAcentral describes it as "tRNA-Ile". The record is from RNAcentral. Lineage: Eukaryota; Metazoa; Arthropoda; Arachnida; Mesostigmata; Parasitidae.
AAUAAAGUGCCUGAUAAAAGGACUAUUUUGAUAGAAUAGAUAAUGUACAUUUGUACCUUUAUUA